Acanthosepion pharaonis is the source of this 111-nucleotide non-coding RNA. NCBI's taxonomy places the organism in Eukaryota, Metazoa, Mollusca, Cephalopoda, Sepiida, Sepiidae. The record is from the annotation of a GenBank genome assembly.
UUACGGCCACACCACACUGAAACACCGGUUCCUGUAUGAUUCUUGAAGUUAAGCAACGUCGAGCCUGGUCAAUACGUAGAUGUCUGACCGCUUGGGAAUACCAAGAGCCAU